This 497-nucleotide ribosomal RNA is filed under the name uncultured bacterium. Its description in RNAcentral is "partial 16S ribosomal RNA". It matches the Rfam family "Bacterial small subunit ribosomal RNA", at positions 28 to 507 of the family's 1533-position model. The record is from RNAcentral.
GAUGAACGCUGGCGGCGUGCCUAAUACAUGCAAGUCGAGCGAACGGACGAGAAGCUUGCUUCUCUGAUGUUAGCGGCGGACGGGUGAGUAACACGUGGAUAACCUACCUAUAAGACUGGGAUCACUUCGGGAAACCGUAGCUAAUACCGGAUAAUAUUUUGAACCGCAUGGUUCAAAAGUGAAAGACGGUCUUGCUGUCACUUAUAGAUGGAUCCGCGCUGCAUUAGCUAGUUGGUAAGGUAACGGCUUACCAAGGCAACGAUGCAUAGCCGACCUGAGAGGGUGAUCGGCCACACUGGAACUGAGACACGGUCCAGACUCCUACGGGAGGCAGCAGUAGGGAAUCUUCCGCAAUGGGCGAAAGCCUGACGGAGCAACGCCGCGUGAGUGAUGAAGGUCUUCGGAUCGUAAAACUCUGUUAUUAGGGAAGAACAUAUGUGUAAGUAACUGUGCACAUCUUGACGGUACCUAAUCAGAAAGCCACGGCUAACUACGUG